RNAcentral lists this ribosomal RNA (1835 nucleotides) under Paralulworthia gigaspora. Its description in RNAcentral is "partial small subunit ribosomal RNA". The stretch from base 1 to 1497 matches the Rfam family "Eukaryotic small subunit ribosomal RNA". The record is from RNAcentral. Lineage: Eukaryota; Fungi; Ascomycota; Sordariomycetes; Lulworthiales; Lulworthiaceae.
CAUUAUACGGCGAAACUGCGAAUGGCUCAUUAAAUCAGUUAUCGUUUACUUGAUAGACCCAUACUACUUGGAUAACCGUGGUAAUUCUAGAGCUAAUACAUGCGAAAAACCGCGACUUCGGAAGCGGUGUAUUUAUUAGAUUAAAGACCAAUGCCCUUCGGGGCUGACUGGUGAUUCAUGAUAACUUCACGAAUCGCACGGCCUUGCGCCGGCGAUGGCUCAUUCAAAUUUCUGCCCUAUCAACUUUCGACUUUAGUGUAGUGGACUAAAGUGGUUGCAACGGGUAACGGAGGGUUAGGGCUCGACCCCGGAGAAGGAGCCUGAGAGACGGCUACUACAUCCAAGGAAGGCAGCAGGCGCGCAAAUUACCCAAUCCCGACUCGGGGAGGUAGUGACAAUAAAUACUGAUACAGGGCUCUUUUGGGUCUUGUAAUUGGAAUGAGUACAAUUUAAAUCUCUUAACGAGGAACAAUUGGAGGGCAAGUCUGGUGGACAAAUCCAGUCCCGUGCUGGCGCCAGCAAGAGCGGGGGGCCCCUGCGGGCCUUCUUUCCCGCUAGUCGAGCACCCGUUCCAUGACGGGAGGGUGCCGGCGAGACAACCUGGAUCGGGGGAGGCUAAGAGGCGCCGCCAGGCGUCUUACGUUGAUCCCGAGCAGAGCACCCGAGGAGCGAUCUUCGGGCUGCCUGUGUAGAGCGCGCAAAGGUGUCGGUCGCUCUCCCCCUCGGGGGAGGCGGCUUAAGGGACGUGCCAUCCGCCUCGAAAGAGGAUUUCCUAUCUCCAGCGCCCGUCACGCUAAGGAUAGGAAGCUGCCGGCUUGCACCGGCAGUGGGAGAUCAAUACGGCCAGCAGCCGCGGUAAUUCCAGCUCCAAUAGCGUAUAUUAAAGUUGUUGUGGUUAAAAAGCUCGUAGUUGAACCUGGGCCUCGCGCAGACCGGUCCGCCUCACCGCGUGCACUGGUCCUGCCGGGGCUUUCACUAGGGGAUUCGCAUGUCCUUCACUGGGCGUGUGCGGAACCUGGACUUUUACUGUGAAAAAAUUAGAGUGUUCAAAGCAGGCCUAUGCUCGAAUACAUUAGCAUGGAAUAAUAGAAUAGGACGUGUGGUUCUAUUUUGUUGGUUAUGGGACCGCCGUAAUGAUUAAUAGGGACAGUCGGGGGCAUCAGUAUUCAAUAGUCAGAGGUGAAAUUCUUGGAUUUAUUGAAGACUAACUACUGCGAAAGCAUUUGCCAAGGAUGUUUUCAUUAAUCAGGAACGAAAGUUAGGGGAUCGAAGACGAUCAGAUACCGUCGUAGUCUUAACCAUAAACUAUGCCGACUAGGGAUCGGGCGAUGUUACUUUUUGACUCGCUCGGCACCUUACGAGAAAUCAAAGUCUGUGGGUUCCUGGGGGAGUAUGGUGGCAACGCUGAAACUUAAAGAAAUUGACGGAAGGGCACCACCAGGAGUAAACCUUUGCUACAAUUAUAUUUUCGAAAUGCCGCAGUAGCUCUGCUCCAAAAAGCAGCCCGAAAGGGUGAGGUGGUUUCAGCCCGGGUCGCCUCGUGCGGUCCGAAUCUAAAUGCUAGUCCGCCUCGGCGGGCGACACGCUCAAAUUGCGGGGAACUCCUAAAGCUCCAGCCACCAAGCCGCCGUGCGAAAGCCGGUGGCGGCCAGGUUAAUUGCCUCGGGUACGGUAAUAGUGCUGGAGAUGCUACAAUGGAUGAUCCGCAGCCAAGCCCCUAAGGCGCCUUGCGCUACGGGGAAGGUUCAGAGACUAGACGGGUGUGGGUCCCGCGGCCGCGGCCGCGGGGCUUAAGGUAUAGUCCGGCCGACGUCGAAAGGCGUCGGGGCCAGCUG